GAAGGGGGCUAGCGUUGUUCGGAAUUACUGGGCGUAAAGGGCGCGUAGGCGGCCUUGUUAGUCGAGUGUGAAAGCCCUGGGCUUAACCCGGGAAGCGCGCUUGAUACUGCAGGGCUUGAGUGUGGGAGAGGUUGGUGGAAUUCCCAGUGUAGAGGUGAAAUUCGUAGAUAUUGGGAAGAACACCGGUGGCGAAGGCGACCAACUGGACCACAACUGACGCUGAGGCGCGAAAGCGUGGGGAGCAAACAGGAUUAGAUACCCUGGUAGUCCACGCCGUAAACGAUGUGCGCUAGACGCUGGAAGACCUAGUCUUUCGGUGUCGCAGCUAACGCUUUAAGCGCACCGCCUGGGGAGUACGGCCGCAAGGUUAAA
Molecule: ribosomal RNA, 372 nt
Filed under: uncultured bacterium
Lineage: Bacteria
Description: bacterial SSU rRNA
Rfam family: Bacterial small subunit ribosomal RNA
Source: RNAcentral